UUUGCCCUUGCUUUUGGAUUCAUGUAUACCGACCUGCAAAUCUGGAAGCCUCUAUCUGGAAAUCUGGAAACCUCUAUUUACGCCGACCUAUUCCACCGACAAAGCCCUCUAUCAACAUCUAGAAGCCUCUAUCGAAUAGAGCAUGGAGCCUCUAUAUAUACCAAAAUUCGGUGAUUGUUUCAGGUUGCCACAGAAAGUGCAGAAAUCCAUCAAGCAAAUAAUCGUAGCCCACCAGUGUACACCCUUCUACUGAGUUACUGAGCCAAAUCUUUAGAGUGAAAUAGAGAGAGAGAGAGAGAGAGAGAGAGAGAGAGAGAUUCAGGGAAGGGGAUUGUCACCUCAUCAUCUCAGCGGGACUGUGUUCGUUUACUUAUCAAGGAAAGGAUCGAUCAAGAUUUGAUGCGAAAAAGUUUCCAUAUCAUUGGUUUGCCGCUGUUCCUUAUUCUGCUGUUUAGUAUUGUUAUCAUCAUUUGUGUGCAUUCAAGUAUAACCCUUCAGUUUUUCUUAUUUUGAUCUUCGUUUUUUAUUCAAAUAUAAAAUUUGAGAUGUUUUAUUCUGCUCAUGACCUAUUUUUCUUGGUGUUUAGCGGCCUGUGAUCCCAGGCCGUGCUGAAUAUGUACCCCAGGUAUAUCACUUUAUCACUCUACUUAUUAUGAUCCUUGCUUACUGUUACACUUUCUUAUACAAUCACUAUUAAAUGAUCCAGGUAUAUCUUUUUUCAAUACAUGAUUUCAGUAUCAAACAAAAUAACUGAGAGUUUUUUUUAUACCAGUAUGUGAUUUCACUAUUUUGUACACAAUCACUAUUAAACGUUCAAAUCUAUCAGCUGGCUGAACACAUUCCAAAUUCUAUCCUUCUCAAGGUUUUAUACUGCCACUAUAAUUCCAUAUCAACAACAUGUUCUUCACCAAGGCUGAGGGUUCAACUUUUCUCCUGCCAAACGAGAUUACAGAUAUCAGCAAGAUUCAUGUAAAACAUGCAUUCCUGAUUCUACCUCUUAAUGAUCAAUUCUUGGAUCGAUUAACUAAAAUUUUGAUCCAAAACUAUUUCAUUCAGUUAUCUCAAAUUUGGAUCAACCUCUCUCUUUCCAACUUGGCUUUAACUGAUGCUGAGGUCUUCUUUACCUCAAUCAAGACUUCUAAUUCAUUAAUAACACUAGAUCCCGCAGCAAAGCGCGGGCAGCUAUUGCUAGUCAACUACGAAAUUUCAAGUCUUUCCUUUUGAGUUGUUUCUUCAAUAUAAGAAUUACAUUUUCCGAUAGUUUAACAA
This is a long non-coding RNA of Rosa rugosa (rugosa rose), 1269 nucleotides long. RefSeq lists it as uncharacterized. Lineage: Eukaryota; Viridiplantae; Streptophyta; Magnoliopsida; Rosales; Rosaceae. The record is from RefSeq and is a predicted model, not a curated record. The transcript is spliced from 4 exons.